UGUGGUGGGCCAGGGGACACCUCUCCUGCGGCCUCUCAGUGUCUCGCCGGCGGGGUUCGGCCCGAGCUAGUUAGACACAGCCCUUGGCGGAUUUAAACAACCUAAACAUUAAACAAUACAGCUGCCUCAAAUCUUUGGGAAUUUCAGAAUGACUGGCACUGCCGAAGCUGUUCCAAAUUUUGAAGAGAUGUUUGCUAGUAGAUUCACAGAAGAUGACAAGGAGUAUCAGGAAUACUUGAAACGCCCUCCUGAGUCCUCUCCAAUUGUUGAGGAAUGGAAUAGCAGAGCUGGUGGGAACCAAAGAAACAGAGGCAAGCGGUUGCAAGAUAACAGACAGUUCAGAGGCAGGGACGGCAGAUAGGGGUGGCCAAGUGACAAUCGAUCCAAUCAGUGGCGUGGACAAUCCUGGGGUAACAAUUACCUGCAACACAGACAAGAACCUUACUAUCCCCACCAAUAUGGACAUGGUUACAACCAGCCGCCCCCUUACGAUAGAAAUGUUGGCAGCUUUUAGUAAAAGCAUUUACUCUGUUACCACGACAAAAGUUUGGGUGUCUUCUGU
Molecule: RNA transcript, 562 nt
Organism: Nomascus leucogenys (northern white-cheeked gibbon)
Lineage: Eukaryota; Metazoa; Chordata; Mammalia; Primates; Hylobatidae
Gene name: RNA guanine-N7 methyltransferase activating subunit pseudogene
Exons: 1
Source: RefSeq, a predicted model, not a curated record